This 210-nucleotide ribosomal RNA is filed under the name Alexandrium fundyense. Its description in RNAcentral is "partial small subunit ribosomal RNA". It matches the Rfam family "Eukaryotic small subunit ribosomal RNA", at positions 1621 to 1831 of the family's 1831-position model. Lineage: Eukaryota; Dinophyceae; Gonyaulacales; Pyrocystaceae. The record is from RNAcentral.
GCUUGAGUCAUCAGCUUGUGCUGAUUAUGUCCCUGCCCUUUGUACACACCGCCCGUCGCUCCUACCGAUUGAAUGAUCCGGUGAAUAAUUUGGGCUGUAGCAAUGUUCAGUUCUUGAACAAUGCAAUGGCAAAUUUAAUGAACCUUAUCACUUAGAGGAAGGAGAAGUCGUAACAAGGUUUCUGUAGGUGAACCUGCUGAAGGAUCAUGU